This 85-nucleotide transfer RNA is filed under the name Felis catus (domestic cat). It matches the Rfam family "tRNA". From Rfam's summary of the family: Transfer RNA (tRNA) molecules are approximately 80 nucleotides in length. Their secondary structure includes four short double-helical elements and three loops (D, anti-codon, and T loops). Further hydrogen bonds mediate the characteristic L-shaped molecular structure. tRNAs have two regions of fundamental functional importance: the anti-codon, which is responsible for specific mRNA codon recognition, and the 3' end, to which the tRNAs corresponding amino acid is attached (by aminoacyl-tRNA synthetases). tRNAs cope with the degeneracy of the genetic code in two manners: having more than one tRNA (with a specific anti-codon) for a particular amino acid; and 'wobble' base-pairing, i.e. permitting non-standard base-pairing at the 3rd anti-codon position. The record is from Rfam by way of RNAcentral. Lineage: Eukaryota; Metazoa; Chordata; Mammalia; Carnivora; Felidae.
GCCUGGGUGGCUCAGUUGGUAAAGCGUCUGACUUCAGCUCAGGUCACGAUCUCACGGUCCGUGAGUUCGAGCCCCGUGUCAGGCU